Cinara cedri is the source of this 326-nucleotide non-coding RNA. NCBI's taxonomy places the organism in Eukaryota, Metazoa, Arthropoda, Insecta, Hemiptera, Aphididae. The record is from the annotation of a GenBank genome assembly.
GGCUGGCGUCGUAUAUUACACGGAGAUAAUUCGAUCGAGUUUUUACGUCUCGGCGGGAUACUCACAGCACGAGAACUGCACUCUCGUUAAUAUAUAUAUAGGUAAACAUAUGUGCAUUACGUUAUUAUUAUAUCGUCCGAGCAAAGACUUUCGAUUUCCGCCGUUCAAAGCCACGUUAAAUUUAUUGUGUACACAUACGCUAGGUAUGUUAUUGUACGACACACGCGCGCCGCCUAUAGCAAUUGUCGUUUCCCUCGUGUGUCCCUUUUCGUAGGUGCGUUUUAUUUAUCGAUUCUCUUCCGUCCGGACAAGUCAUUGUUUUCUUU